Long non-coding RNA from Maylandia zebra (zebra mbuna), 1030 nucleotides. RefSeq lists it as uncharacterized. The record is from RefSeq and is a predicted model, not a curated record. NCBI's taxonomy places the organism in Eukaryota, Metazoa, Chordata, Actinopteri, Cichliformes, Cichlidae.
UGUGUACAUAUAGUAUGUAUAUUUACAGUACAGUAUGUUGUGUUUGUUGACAUAUUUUCAGGUGGAAGCAGAAUAUGUGAGGAUUACUACUGCUGCACAUGUUCCAAGGCUUUUUACACAACUUGACCAAUACACUGACCAGCUCAUAAAAGUCUUCAAGAAAAAAGGAGGCGUUGCAGGGAAGAAAAUUAGACAAACUUUGGCCCCAGCCACACAGAAGGAAAGUAUUGAAAAGGGGAGGGAGUGUGUCCUCAGGGCACUACCUUUUUACCUGAAUGAAGACCCAAGCAUCCUCUUCAAAGAAUAAUUGCUACAGCUGUUCAGAGGGAGCUGGAACAAAUUACCCUUGCUAUCUUUACCAUCGAAAGAGCUGAUGCCAGCACUCCUCCAGCCGAUGUGGGUAUAACCAUCUAGUGUGUCCUGCAUGACCUGGAAGACCUGGCCUCUGCAUGUGCACUCUUAAUGGGUGGGAUAUAUGCACUGAAUCUCAGUUAACCUCAAGACUGAAAGCUUUCUUUGAAGUACUUCAGAAGCUCUUCCUUCAUCUGUAUGUCAGCAGACUCUUGACCAAGGUACAGUUGCUCAAGAAUACACUGAAUGAAUAAGCCAACCUUUAAUUUGGAUGAUGAAUGUUCUGUCAGAUGGACAGAAGUUUUUCGGAGGCUGAAUGGGAAUAAAAUGGUAAUUUGUAAAUGACAGAUAACGGGAAAAUUACAUUUAAGAGAAAUUUAGAACAUUUUGAAAAGUUUGUAAACUACUACAAUUUGAGAGAUUUUACUGUUGUGGGGGGCUAGUAAGAGACAAUCAAAAGUAUUGAGAUUUAAAGGAUUUAAUUGAGAGAUGAUACUGCACCAGAAAUGUUGAAGGGUGGUGUGUAUAUUAGCGUUCAAGGCAUAUUGUUAUGAGGUGGAAAUAUGUUCAUAUUCAGUUUGUGUUACAUUGUGUGCAUUGUAAAGGUAAUUGCAAUACAUACUAAAAAUAAGGGUAAGUUAGGAGGUUGAUCUGAUAUCCUCGUGUUGGUGUUGUUCCC